AAUAACUCUGGAUGGCAGAUAAAUCAUAGGGUGGAGAGAAAGGAGUAGAAGGCUUCAAUGAUGAUACCCUGUUUCCGUCAAUGACAGAUAAGGCCCGAAGAUCCAGACUGAUGAUAAGCCUAAAGCUGGUGGAGGACAAUCACUACUGGAUUCUACCACAGAAGGCUGCAAACACGGCUGAGGAUUUUUACUAAAGUUACAAAAAUCAUUAUCGUUCUGGGGAAUCCACCUGCCAUGGUGAGUAGCACUACAAGAGAGGCCCAUGCAGCAAAGA
Molecule: long non-coding RNA, 274 nt
Organism: Homo sapiens (human)
Lineage: Eukaryota; Metazoa; Chordata; Mammalia; Primates; Hominidae
Product: long independently transcribed non-coding RNA 2083
Exons: 3
Source: RefSeq, a predicted model, not a curated record